Molecule: ribosomal RNA, 251 nt
Filed under: uncultured bacterium
Lineage: Bacteria
Description: partial 16S ribosomal RNA
Rfam family: Bacterial small subunit ribosomal RNA
Source: RNAcentral
UACGGGGGGGCAAGCGUUGUUCGGAAUUACUGGGCGUAAAGGGCUCGUAGGCGGCCAACUAAGUCGGACGUGAAAUCCCUCGGCUUAACCGGGGAACUGCGUCCGAUACUGGAUGGCUUGAGUUUGGGAGAGGGAUGCGGAAUUCCAGGUGUAGCGGUGAAAUGCGUAGAUAUCUGGAGGAACACCGGUGGCGAAGGCGGCAUCCUGGACCAACACUGACGCUGAGGAGCGAAAGCCAGGGGAGCAACGGG